Long non-coding RNA from Meriones unguiculatus (Mongolian gerbil), 2448 nucleotides. RefSeq lists it as uncharacterized. The record is from RefSeq and is a predicted model, not a curated record. Lineage: Eukaryota; Metazoa; Chordata; Mammalia; Rodentia; Muridae. The transcript is spliced from 6 exons.
CAUAGGAAUGUGGAGCAAACUGACAGGCAGAGAAGAGGGAAGAGGGAAACUGCCUUUGCUGGUGGCAGCUGGGCAGAGCAGAGCCGAUAAAAAGUCAAUUCCACUUAGCAGAAUCGCUGCUAACUAAAUAUUUGGGGGGCCAGAGCCUUCCUGGGUGGCUGCCGGAGGAUCUCUGCUUCCAAACUGAGACAUCAAACAGGCCCAGGGAGAGGACAGGUGAGGUCCGGGCUCUGGUUGACAGGACUCAGGGAGCCCUGCAGAAGAGGAGGUGGAAAGAGCCACAGAGCUGGAGGACACCUAGGAAACAAAGUCUUGUAGGCACAAGAGCCUUUAUGAGGUACAUCUGAUAAGGGGAUAGUGAUCAUGCCAUGUGCACACAUGGAGGUCAGAAGACAACUUGCAAGUGUUGGUUCUCUCCGUCUACCAUGGAGUUUCCAGAGGCUGGACAGAGGUCAUCAGGCUUGGCAGCAAGGACCUUUACCUGCUAAGCCUCUGGCCCUCAUUUUUUUAAAAAUGCAAAUCAUAUAAGGAGAAAAUAAGAAUUAAAAUAAUAGUUUCAUUAUUCAUACUGAGUCUAGGGGCUCUAAAACAAAUAUGCAUGAUAUUCAAAUACAGAAGUUCUCCUUAUCCUCACAGGGGCGGCCUGAAACUUGGAUAAUACGUACAAAUGAUGACAUUUAAUUCGUAAAUUAGGUGUAGGAGAAGAUGAGCAACAGUAAAAGAUUAGCAAUGAUCACUGAUAAUAAAAUAGAUUGAUGAUAUACCAUAACAAAAGUGACACGAAACUAAUCUUUCUCUCUUAGAAGAGUCAAGGCAAGCAGUGUUUUCAGAGGAUAGUUGACCUUGGAUAACUGAAGCCAUGGAUGACCGAGCCUGUGAUACUGGAGGGACUACCAUCAUACAAAAAGCACCAAAUGAAAAUGAAAAAUCCUGUUCCUUCUUCCCAGCAAAGCCCCUUUCCUCAGAAACUCUUCCUGCUGGUUUGCAGGCUGGCAUCUUCAUCCCCAGGCUCCCCAGACUGAAUAUGGAGAAAGACUUCAAGAGUUAAUUCAGGUAAACUGAGGUCACACGGGUGGGUCCUGGUCCAUCAUGAGUGGUCUCCUUGGAAGAGGAGGAGAUUCUCCCACGUCAGGUUCUGUGACGUCAGCAGAGGAAGGCAGCCAUCUAUAAAGUAGGGAGAGAGGCCUCAGAAGAAGCCAAUGUCGCCAACCACAGAGCCUUGGACUUGUAAACUGGAGAACUAUGAGAAAGUAAAUUCUGUUGUGAAACAUUCCCAGUCUCUUGUACUUGGCUCGGACAGCCAGAGAAAAUGAUCACGCUGAGGAUGGGAGUCAUGGGUCUGGUGGAAGCAGCUACCAGCAAAUUUUGGUGUAGAAUUUUGGGGGAGGGGAAGGUCAUAUCCCUCAGCCUCUGUUUCCUCUGUCCUCUUGAUUCUGCUGGACCCUUCCUCCUGGAACCGCUCACAAAAGCCCAUCAGUCGGUAGAGAUUUCAGCUUUUAUCCUUCCACGAGGUGCCUGCAUUUUAGUGUGGGAAUAUCUCUAUGUCUAUAUGAUUUAUUUAUUUAUUUAUGUGAUGGUGCAGACAGAGCCCAGGGCCUUGCAUGCUUGUCACUCCUAGCCCUUCAUGUGGAAUUUAGAGAAAUUAUUAUAAUUGUGCAUAUGUACUACAGUAGAGGUAGAAGAGUUAAGACACUUCGUUGGAGUCAGAACUCAUGACAUUAGAUUUGGGCAACAAAUAUUUCCCCUGCUGAACCAUCUCUGAUGUGAGGUUUUUGUUGUUAUUUCUUAACUUUUGGGAAUAGGGUCUUGUCAAGCUGUCUAAGCUGGCCUUGAACUUGGCAUCCUCCUGCUUCAAACAGUCCCAGAGCUGGGCUGCAGACAGAAUUGGUUUGAUCCUGCUAAGUUGUUAGCUGGGAAACAUUUGAGCUGGCUGCAUUUCAAUCACUAUUCCUACAGUUACAGUCAAUGGUCUGCUUGACUGAACCUGUGAAUAUACCCUGGGAUGUACAGGCCUGGCUUUCUGCAUGAGAGGAUUAUGCUUUGGCCUCACCAAUAUCAGCUGUGGCCACAUGACCUGCUUUGCUCUACAAUACAGUUCUGAAGAGGAAAUGACAAGGAGAGCGAGCCCUUUAAAAGACGCCCGUGGUACUUUUCCUCUCUUCCAGCAUGAACGCAGCUGGGGCUGGACUGUUCCGUCGGCUUGGGGUACAGUAUGAAGAGAGGAGAGAAAGGAGGGGCAAGCAGCCUGUCACUGCAAACUCUAUCUCUGUGGACGGCCACUGAGACGUUAAGAGCUGUUUGUUAUCACGUCACCGCACAGUAAAAGCUGACUGAUACACCCUCCGAAUAUCAACAUAUUUAACGUGAAAUGCCAGGAACAAUGAGGGAUAACACCUUUAAGUAACCAAUAAAUGCUAUUAAAGUCUGUUGAAGGAAUCUGCCGAACCA